RNAcentral lists this ribosomal RNA (785 nucleotides) under uncultured Glomus. Its description in RNAcentral is "SSU rRNA". It matches the Rfam family "Eukaryotic small subunit ribosomal RNA", at positions 325 to 1111 of the family's 1831-position model. The record is from RNAcentral. Lineage: Eukaryota; Fungi; Glomeromycota; Glomeromycetes; Glomerales; Glomeraceae.
AUGGUAGGAUAGAGGCCUACCAUGGUGGUAACGGGUAACGGGGUGUUAGGGCACGACACCGGAGAGGGAGCCUGAGAAACGGCUACCACAUCCAAGGAUGGCAGCAGGCGCGCAAAUUACCCAAUCCCGACACGGGGAGGUAGUGACAAUAAAUAACAAUACGGGGUUCUUUAGGAUCUCGUAAUUGGAAUGAGUACAAUUUAAAUCUCUUAACGAGGAACAAUUGGAGGGCAAGUCUGGUGCCAGCAGCCGCGGUAAUUCCAGCUCCAAUAACGUAUAUNAAAGUUGUUGCAGUUAAAAAGCUCGUAGUUGAAUUUCGGGGUCAGUAGGUCGGUCGUGCCACUGGUAUGAACUGGUUUUACUGAUUCCUCCCUCUUGAAGAACUGUAAUGCCAUUAAUUUGGUGUUGCAGGGAAUCAGGACUGUUACUUUGAAAAAAUUAGAGUGUUUAAAGCAAGCUUUAGCUUGAAUACAUUAGCAUGGAAUAAUGAAAUAGGACGUUUGAUCCUAUUUUGUUGGUUUCUAGGAUUGACGUAAUGAUUAAUAGGGAUAGUUGGGGGCAUUAGUAUUCAAUUGUCAGAGGUGAAAUUCUUGGAUUUAUUGAAGACUAACUACUGCGAAAGCAUUUGCCAAGGAUGUUUUCAUUAAUCAAGAACGAAAGUUAGGGGAUCGAAGACGAUCAGAUACCGUCGUAGUCUUAACCAUAAACUAUGCCGACUAGGGAUCGGAUGAUGUUAAUUUUUUAAUGACUCAUUCGGCGCCUUACGGGAAACCAAAGUGUUUGGG